Long non-coding RNA from Triticum aestivum (bread wheat), 414 nucleotides. RefSeq lists it as uncharacterized. NCBI's taxonomy places the organism in Eukaryota, Viridiplantae, Streptophyta, Magnoliopsida, Poales, Poaceae. The record is from RefSeq and is a predicted model, not a curated record. The transcript is spliced from 2 exons.
AUCAAAUCAAACAGUAAAGAGAAGAGUUCGGUACUUAGUUUGCGUUGUAUCUUGUGAUGGCGAUUAGUCAGAAAAAUGUAAGCUUUGUAUGCUUAGCAGCCCUCAUGUUGGUGAUGGCGACCAUUAUGUUGUCAUGUGAUGCUGAUCCAAAAGAAUCAUGCUACGGGCUUGAAGAUGGAUGCGCCGAAUUGAAAUGCAAGGAAUAUUGUGUGGACUAUGGUUACACCAAGGGAUCUUAUUGCCAGAAUGACGCUUUAUGUUGUUGUUUGACUGCUGCCAAGCCCAAGGUGGAAUUCACCCGUCGUCGUGAUUGAGUGCCUACAAACGUUGUUCAUAUCUAUCAGAUAUCAAAAGUGACCAUGUGUUGCAAUGGGUAUAAAAUAAAUAUAUUUUAAAAAAGAAACAUUUAGCCCC